AGCUGGGGCGGGGCGGGGCGGGGCGGUCUCACCCCGCCGGGCGUCGCCGGGGGUUCCCGCCUCGCCUGCCGCCCGGGCGGGGGCGCCGCCGCGGCAGCCUGCGGCCCGUCCUUGCCCACCCGCCGGCCGGGGUGGUUCCAGCCUUCCGGGAGGAGGAGCCGCAGCGCUGGCGGCCUGCGCGGCGCGGGCCGCAGUGCUGGGGAGGCCGAGGUGAGGCGCCCGGCGCCCCCGCGGUGUUUGCUGCCUGCUCGCCGUUUCCCUGAGGACCUGCGGCUCGUCCCAUGCAGGCGCGGCUCCGGGGCCGCUGGAGCGCCUGUGUGCGCGCACGUCUCAGAGAAACCUAUUCAUGAUGUGUUUAGAAAGAGGGUUCGACGUUCAGGAAAAAGUAGAGAGCACGGUGCUUCAGUGAGGUUCUGGCCUGGGCAGAGCAAGAAGGAACUGUUUCACUUGCAGACAGGAUACCAGCAUGCUUCUUCACAGUGGACCUAACCCACAUUUGCAGGAAAUCAGUUGGAACGGCUGUUUCAAACAGGCAGCCUCAAGACAUACAACAGGAAGAACCGUUUCUCACCUCCAAAAUUCAUUCAUGGCUCGUAACAACUUAAUGCAUAUCACUGUGCUGACCUCUUACUCAAGCAUCAGGUGGCAGGUCAGGCUGAAGCUCUGCAGAUUCUGUCACUCAAAAUGAAGCUGCUUGCUACGAAAUGCUGAUGUUGUCCUUAAAGUUUAAUAGCAUCAGUAUGGCAUGUUAUCUUCUAUCAAGUAUAAUGUCUGGAUUGCAAAAUACACACGUUUUUUCCUUUUGUUGUGUGUGCACUUGAACAGCGUGUCUUCAAUCUUAUAUUUACUUAAUAUGUACAAAUGACCCUGACUACGCACAAAAUAUAACUUUUUCAAACAGUUUUACUUUUCACCCUUUAAAUAAAUUUUUGCUUUGUUUCCUUUA
This is a long non-coding RNA of Columba livia (rock pigeon), 946 nucleotides long. RefSeq lists it as uncharacterized. The transcript is spliced from 2 exons. Lineage: Eukaryota; Metazoa; Chordata; Aves; Columbiformes; Columbidae. The record is from RefSeq and is a predicted model, not a curated record.